UAGGGAAUCUUCCGCAAUGGACGCAAGUCUGACGGAGCAACGCCGCGUGAGUGAAGAAGGAUUUCGGUUCGUAAAACUCUGUUGUUAGAGAAGAACAGCGCAUAGAGUAACUGUUAUGCGUGUGACGGUAUCUAACCAGAAAGCCACGGCUAACUACGUGCCAGCAGCCGCGGUAAUACGUAGGUGGCAAGCGUUAUCCGGAAUUAUUGGGCGUAAAGCGCGCGUAGGCGGUUUUUUAAGUCUGAUGUGAAAGCCCACGGCUCAACCGUGGAGGGUCAUUGGAAACUGGAAAACUUGAGUGCAGAAGAGGAAAGUGGAAUUCCAUGUGUAGCGGUGAAAUGCGCAGAGAUAUGGAGGAACACCAGUGGCGAAGGCGACUCUCUGGUCUGUAACUGACGCUGAGGCUCGAAAGCGUGGGUAGCAAACAGG
Molecule: ribosomal RNA, 429 nt
Filed under: Bacteroidota bacterium
Lineage: Bacteria; Pseudomonadati; Bacteroidota
Description: Bacteroidetes bacterium partial 16S ribosomal RNA
Rfam family: Bacterial small subunit ribosomal RNA
Source: RNAcentral